RNAcentral lists this ribosomal RNA (265 nucleotides) under uncultured Streptococcus sp. RNAcentral's name for it is "partial 16S ribosomal RNA". It matches the Rfam family "Bacterial small subunit ribosomal RNA", at positions 1117 to 1382 of the family's 1533-position model. The record is from RNAcentral. Lineage: Bacteria; Bacillati; Bacillota; Bacilli; Lactobacillales; Streptococcaceae.
GCCAUCAUUCAUUGGGCACUCUAGCGAGACUGCCGGUAAUAAACCGGAGGAAGGUGGGGAUGACGUCAAAUCAUCAUGCCCCUUAUGACCUGGGCUACACACGUGCUACAAUGGUUGGUACAACGAGUUGCGAGUCGGUGACGGCGAGCUAAUCUCUUAAAGCCAAUCUCAGUUCGGAUUGUAGGCUGCAACUCGCCUACAUGAAGUCGGAAUCGCUAGUAAUCGCGGAUCAGCAUGCCCGCGGUCCGAAUACGUUCCGGGCCUU